RNAcentral lists this ribosomal RNA (328 nucleotides) under uncultured eukaryote. RNAcentral's name for it is "partial 18S ribosomal RNA". It matches the Rfam family "Eukaryotic small subunit ribosomal RNA", at positions 1470 to 1796 of the family's 1831-position model. The record is from RNAcentral.
CCCUUAGAUGUUCUGGGCUGCACGCGCGCUACACUGAAGCGUUCAACGAGUAUUCACCUUGCCCGGGAGGGUUGGGUAAUCUUUUGAAAACGCUUCGUGAUGGGGAUAGAUUAUUGCAAUUAUUAAUCUUCAACGAGGAAUUCCUAGUAAGCGCGAGUCAUCAGCUCGUGCUGAUUACGUCCCUGCCCUUUGUACACACCGCCCGUCGCUCCUACCGAUUGAAUGGUCCGGUGAAAAUUCGGGACUGUGGCAAUGUCUUCUUUAUUGAAGACGCUGCCGUGGGAACUUAUUUAAACCUUACCAUUUAGAGGAAGGUGAAGUCGUAACA